RNAcentral lists this ribosomal RNA (538 nucleotides) under Wolbachia endosymbiont of Bemisia tabaci. RNAcentral's name for it is "bacterial SSU rRNA". It matches the Rfam family "Bacterial small subunit ribosomal RNA", at positions 244 to 799 of the family's 1533-position model. Lineage: Bacteria; Pseudomonadati; Pseudomonadota; Alphaproteobacteria; Rickettsiales; Anaplasmataceae. The record is from RNAcentral.
GCUAGUUGGUGGAGUAAUAGCCUACCAAGGCAAUGAUCUAUAGCUGAUCUGAGAGGAUGAUCAGCCACACUGGAACUGAGAUACGGUCCAGACUCCUACGGGAGGCAGCAGUGGGGAAUAUUGGACAAUGGGCGAAAGCCUGAUCCAGCCAUGCCGCAUGAGUGAAGAAGGCCUUUGGGUUGUAAAGCUCUUUUAGUGAGGAAGAUAAUGACGGUACUCACAGAAGAAGUCCUGGCUAACUCCGUGCCAGCAGCCGCGGUAAUACGGAGAGGGCUAGCGUUAUUCGGAAUUAUUGGGCGUAAAGGGCGCGUAGGCUGAUUAAUAAGUUAAAAGUGAAAUCCCGAGGCUUAACCUUGGAAUUGCUUUUAAAACUAUUAAUCUAGAGAUUGAAAGAGGAUAGAGGAAUUCCUGAUGUAGAGGUAAAAUUCGUAAAUAUUAGGAGGAACACCAGUGGCGAAGGCGUCUAUCUGGUUCAAAUCUGACGCUGAAGCGCGAAGGCGUGGGGAGCAAACAGGAUUAGAUACCCUGGUAGUCCACG